AGGCAGCAGUAAGGAAUAUUGGUCAAUGGACGAAAGUCUGAACCAGCCAUGCCGCGUGGAGGAUUAAGGCCCUCUGGGUUGUAAACUCCUUUUAUCUGGGAAGAAAUGCCAUUUUUCUAAAUGGUUUGACGGUACCAGAGGAAUAAGCACCGGCUAACUCCGUGCCAGCAGCCGCGGUAAUACGGAGGGUGCAAGCGUUAUCCGGAUUCACUGGGUUUAAAGGGUGCGUAGGCGGGCAGGUAAGUCCGUGGUGAAAUCUCUGAGCUUAACUCAGAAACUGCCAUGGAUACUAUUUGUCUUGAAUACUGUGGAGGUAAGCGGAAUAUGUCAUGUAGCGGUGAAAUGCUUAGAUAUGACAUGGAACACCAAUUGCGAAGGCAGCUUACUACACAGUUAUUGACGCUGAGGCACGAAAGCGUGGGGAUCAAACAGGAUUAGAUACCCUGGUAG
Molecule: ribosomal RNA, 450 nt
Filed under: uncultured bacterium
Lineage: Bacteria
Description: bacterial SSU rRNA
Rfam family: Bacterial small subunit ribosomal RNA
Source: RNAcentral